CCUACGGGCGGCAGCAGUGAGGAAUAUUGGUCAAUGGGUGUAAGCCUGAACCAGCCAAGUCGCGUGAGGGAUGAAGGUUCUAUGGAUCGUAAACCUCUUUUAUAAGGGAAUAAAGUGCGGGACGCGUCCCGCUUCGUAUGUACCUUAUGAAUAAGGAUCGGCUAACUCCGUGCCAGCAGCCGCGGUAAUACGGAGGAUCCGAUCGUUAGCCGGAUUUAUUGGGUUUAAAGGGUGCGUAGGCGGCCUUUUAAGUCAGCGGUGAAAGUCUGUGGCUCAACCAUAGAAUUGCCGUUGAAACUGGGGGGCUUGAGUAUGUUUGAGGCAGGCGGAAUGCGUGGUGUAGCGGUGAAAUGCAUAGAUAUCACGCAGAACCCCGAUUGCGAAGGCAGCCUGCCAAGCCAUGACUGACGCUGAUGCACGAAAGCGUGGGGAUCGAACAGGAUUAGAUACCCUUGUAGUC
RNAcentral lists this ribosomal RNA (460 nucleotides) under uncultured bacterium. Its description in RNAcentral is "partial 16S ribosomal RNA". It matches the Rfam family "Bacterial small subunit ribosomal RNA", at positions 338 to 795 of the family's 1533-position model. The record is from RNAcentral.